Molecule: ribosomal RNA, 468 nt
Filed under: uncultured bacterium
Lineage: Bacteria
Description: partial 16S ribosomal RNA
Rfam family: Bacterial small subunit ribosomal RNA
Source: RNAcentral
GACGAACGCUGGCGGCGUGCUUAACACAUGCAAGUCGAACGGCAAGGCCCUGCUUUUGUGGGCUGCUCAGUUAGCGGAGGGAUGAGUAACACUUCAGUGGCCUAGCCUUGACUUUGGGGUAUCAUUAGGGAACUCGGGCUACUACCGGAUGGGUGCUCCUGCUGCAAGUUGGGGGUUGGGAAGUUUCGGCGGUGGGGGAUGGACUCGCGGCUUAUCGGCUUGUUAGUGGGGUAGUGGCAUACCAAGGCUUUGCAGGGUAGCCGGGCUGAGAGGGUGACCGGCCACAUUGGGACGGAGAUACGGCACAGCCUACUCCGGGAGGCAGGAGUGGGGAAUAGUGCAUAAUGGGCGGAAGCCUGAUGCAGCAACGCCGCGUGGGGGAAGACGGCAUGCGGGUUGUAAACUGCUUUUGCCUGUGACGAAGCGUGAGUGACGGUAAUGGGUAAAGAAGCCCCGGCUAACUACGUG